GCUGUCCCUCAAGCCCGGCUUGUGUGUUGGGCCGUCGUCCCUCCCCCNNGGGGGACGGGCCCUAAAGGCAGCGGCGGCACCGCGUCCGGUCCUCGAGCGUAUGGGGCUUUGUCACCCGCUCAUAGGCCCGGCCGGCGCUGGCCGACGCUGAAAAGCAACCAUUUUCUUCAGG
Molecule: ribosomal RNA, 172 nt
Filed under: Aspergillus muricatus
Lineage: Eukaryota; Fungi; Ascomycota; Eurotiomycetes; Eurotiales; Aspergillaceae
Description: internal transcribed spacer 2, ITS2
Source: RNAcentral